AGUAGGAAAUGUUUGACAGGCAAACGGUACAUUAAAAUCCCAUAAAUAUCAAUUUAAUGAAUAGAUUUUUCCAUCAAGGCUUUGUGACAACUGCCAUGUAGCUUCUCAUUGGCGGAUGGAACAAGGAUUCUCCAUCGUCAUCAGAGAUGCUACACAUGGCAAAACACUGCUUGUGAUGAAUUGUUGACUCCAAAUAUUAGACCCAACUCAUCCACAGUCAUUGAGGUGUGCAAAGCUCGAAAUAACUAGAAAGGUGUAUUCUAUUGCCUUCACAACAUACUGCGCAUGAAUGGUAUGGAUAUGGAACGACCACGGAAACUGCCUCGAACAAUAAAAUAUUUUGUAACGGUUACAUAAAAUGGGUGAGUGAAAAGCAACAACGGAUUGGCCUUGAAAAGUAGGUAAUGGUGAGAAGCAUAGGUAGAAAAAGAAAAAAGCAGCGGUUUUUCAUUUUCCAGGAAUAAAAUUAGAGUUUUGGAAAAAAAUUAUGA
Daphnia carinata is the source of this 491-nucleotide long non-coding RNA. RefSeq lists it as uncharacterized. The record is from RefSeq and is a predicted model, not a curated record. The transcript has 3 exons. Lineage: Eukaryota; Metazoa; Arthropoda; Branchiopoda; Diplostraca; Daphniidae.